AAUGAAAACGGAACGCAUCGUAGCUUUUGGCAGCUACCUACCUAUCUUAUCUCCGUGUUUCUCUUAUGUGGUUGUAAACAUUUAAUUACCUAUAUUUCUACAUUAUUUCGAACUUUGAUAAAUUAAUGUGUAAAAUCAGUGGAAUAACAUUUUGUGAUAUAUGAAAAAACUAAAGUUUAUCAAAUAUUACGUGAAAAUAGUUUUUGUUGUGACAGGAGUAUAACCUAAAAAGUGUUUCUUUAAGUUAUGUUUUCUUUGCGAAUAUUGCAAUAAUUUUGUGUUAUAUAUAGUGAAAGUGGGUUUUAAUAUGAGUAUAUACGUAUGAUUUAUUAGAAAAGGUGCAUUGUGAAUAUCAACGGAGAAGGCGGCAGUCGUUUAAUGAUCUUCUUCAAUUGGUGAUGACAAAGCAAGGGAAUACACUGUACUUAUACAAUGACCACACAUUCUCUACCAAAGGACGCACGAAGAGAUCCCUAUUUUGUUCAAGAUACUUCAGAGGGAAAUGUCCUGCUAAAUUGACCUUGAACUCUGACGGGCAAAUCAUUUUUCGUAAUACGGCGCAUAACCAUGAUCCUCCUAAAUACACCAUCACAAAAGAUGGUCAGAUUGUGAAAGAUAUAUAUAAGCCCUGGGAAGACAAGAAAGACAAUAUUAGUGCAAAGGUUGAUGUUGAAGAUAGUGACAAAUAUUACUCCGUUCCGAUACGAAAUUUAAGAUCUAAUACCGAUCCUUCUGGGGUAUCCACAACUAACGUUACGCGGUUUUUAAAUUCCGACUCCCCUCCACCUUUGGUGAGAUUUCCGCCACCUCCCAAUCUCACAUGAGAUUUGUCAACGUAUUGUGUUUCUAGUAGCUAGUAUAUGUUCAAAAAAAAAUUAUUUAUUCAAUACUUUCUUUAGUCGUUAGUUUUUGACAAUAUAAUACACAAAUCAAUUUUUAACAUUUUCGCACAGUGUGGGGAAAACAAAUGCAUGACAACUGUAUCUCCAAAGUAUAUUUAGCUCGAGGAGUUCUAUGAGAGGAUCUUUCUCCUAGAACUCCACAUAAUGCAUGGGCAAUACACUUCAAUCAAUAAAAUCAAUAUUAUUCGUAAUACAUAUUAGCCAAUGUUUCAUGUAUCUAAAGUUAAAAUUAUAAAUUGUCUGAUGAUAAUGAAAUUGACAAUUUUAAAUAAUUAUCUGUAAUUAUAAAAAAACAGGGCUCACUACAACAUUACAAAGGCAUAAUAUUGAAAUGUAAUAGUACAUUCUUGAAAAACUUUAGUAACAUUUCUGAAUUAUUGAGGCUGGGUCUAAGGAAUCAUAAAAUUAACAAUUUCCCAUGUUCCGGUCCCGGCAAUUAUAUCACACCAGAGUUAUAUUUUGCAAAGGUUUUUUUAAAAUUAUGAUUUAGCUAAAAAACAAUUGUCUAUCACUCACAUCAAUCUAUGUAUUUUGUUUCCUUGCCGUGUCUUUUUAUAUUCUUAGUACCACGAGGGCAUAAUUGUUUUUAAUUAUUUAGAUUUCAUAUUAUUAUGUUGCAUGAUGACAAGGUCUAUGUACAAGUAAUAGGACGGUCUCACUGCUUCGUUGUACUACGUUACGUCGAUACAGGGCGUUGACGCUCCUUCGUUUUACGUGGGUUUGAAAUUGACGAUGACAUUGUCAAUAUUGCCCUAUUGUUGACGGAGCACAAAGAAGCAAUGACGCCUUGCUCUAAAUCACACGUGCAUUUAUGUUCGUAUUAGUAAUGUUGGGUAGUUAAUUUUAAUUGUGUUUUUGUUGCUUUUUAUUUUUAGUUAAUAAAAUAAUGAUCGCUAAUUUUUUUAUUUGCAUAGCAUGUAAUAAUUCUCCUUGGCGCACGGGCAAUAACUACACGUAGCAAAUAUAAUGAUCCUUAGGGUGGGUUGUACCGUCAUCUUUGACAACUUGAACAUGUGCAGACAAUCGCAAAGUAUUAUAGAACUUAUGCCAUUUUGCCGAAAUGUCAACGACGCGCCGGUUAAAAUCAACGUCAUGUUUGACAACUUUUGGUGCAACUCAAAUCAACUCUAAAUAUGAAUUGUCUACAUUAUGUUUUGUCUCUUUCUGUAAAUGGCAAAUAUUAUAAAGUGCGACAGUGACAAAACAUAUUUUAAUUACCUAAGAGGGAAGGUCUCUAAACAUCUACAAUUUUUUGUUAUACUCGUAUAGCAUGCUAUUUUUACUACAAAUGUAAAAUUUGCAUUUCAAGCUUUGAUACUAAAUAAUCUCCUUCCAAAGUAUAAAGGGUGGACACAGAACAUACAACGGAAAUAAGUAUAUAAUUUUUAUGUGUAUAAUAAAAUUGAAGUCAGUUUUCACGAUAAAGUUAAAAUGUUCAUGCUAAUAAUGUUUACAUUAUAUAAUUUUCUUUAUAUUAUAUUACAUUUAAACGUUUUUAUCGCAUACAAUACCUAACCUAAAUGUUGUAAUUUCAUAACCUGUAUUUACAGAAAUGCUGACGUAUUUACCAAUGGAGAACAACAAGCAAAUCAUUAUUUACAAAGGCUAUAGUUUCUCAUUUCUAAAUAAACAGAAAAAGUACCUUCGGUGCUCGAAAAGGCUAGUUGGGAAGUGUAAUGCUCGAUUGAAAAUUAACGACUUUGGUGUUGUGGUCAUGGAAGAUACACGUCACAAUCACUCUCCACCGAAGUUCACACGUACGUCAAAUGGAUUAUAUUACAAACUGUGAAGUCUGCGCACAAAUUUGUAAGAUAAUUCAGAUACCUAAUAGGCGCAAAUAUUAGUCGCGCAUUUAAAAUUUAACGUAAUUAAAAAUGUAACGAAGCGCAUUUUGUUCUUCAAUUUAAGCUUUCAUCGAUGUUUGUAAGAUAUUGUUUGAACUAAUGUUUUUUCUAGUCUUUACGGAAAUACCGUUCCGAUUUUUCAAAUUUCUUACAGGUAUCCUAACUUAUCUCACAAUGGCGGAUGGCAACCGAAGUGUAGUUUUGUAUAAGGGCUACACGUUUUCUUUCCAAAAUAAGUACAGGAAAAAUCUUAGGUGUUCCAAAAGAAUCAUUGGCAAAUGUAAUGCUCAAGUAAAGUUAGACGCCAACGGUUGCAUUAUCAUGGAAAACACGAACCACAAUCACGCCCCACCGGUGUAUAAACGGACGAUGAACGGAUUUUACUAUAAAGUGUAAUAAAAAUAUGUCAUAUUUUUUAAAUAUAAAGAAAAAUAUUCCAAAGGCUAGACGUAGUAUUUGUUGAUCAAUUAUUUGGAUUUUUGAAAAUAAAAACAUAUGCAUAUGCUAGAAUGAGUUUGAUUUAUUUAACUUGUUUUUGUUCGCAAGCUCCCAUCAACACUGAUGAAAGAAAAACUUUGCAUUAAUGUUUACAAUAAAGCUAUAAACAAUAAACAUUCAUAAUUGUAUUUUCGAGCUUCAAGUAAAAUCAUCUACAAAAUGUACGAUGCAACUGAAAUUGUAAUAUAUCUUUUUUCAGCUCCAUACGAACUUCUUGACGCUAACGGUGAUCCGAUAUCCACCGAAGGAGAUCGUAUUCUUUAUGAAGGCAUUAAAUACAACAAAAUCGGUACUGAUGAAAAUGGAAUAUCGAAUUGGCGCUGUGCUAUUAUUAUGUGUCCCGGAGGGUUUCAAGCCAGGAAUUCAACUGUUCUAAGUAAUAUAAAACACGGCUGCCCCGCUGGCAAUAUAGAUUUUAUAAUAAAGGAAAGAAUCGAAGAAUGCAAAAAAAGAGUUCAAAUUGACAAGCGUUCUAUCACUGUUAUCUACAAGGAAAUUGUAGAUGAAUACAACAAGAGUGGCAAGAACAGAGUUAAAGAAAUGCCCGAUUUUUCUAGCAUCAAGUCGUCCUUAUAUAGAAGUAGGAUGAAAGCAAAGAACAUGAAGUAAAUGUUACUUACUAUCCAGUUACAGUUUUGUAAUUGGUUUAUACAUUUUAACUUUCUUUAUUGGUGUAUUUCAAAAUAAUUGAAAUUAUAAAUUACUAUCCGGGAUACUAGUGUCUCUAUUCUAAUUUACAUUAAACUCGUGUACUUAAUUUCAUAAAAAUCUGUCUUAGUAGACUCUUCGUUACGAGUAACAAACACAGAUCAAUGCAUUCUCACAACUAACUUUCGUAUUUAUACGGUAUUUUAAUAUGAAGUGCGAUAAUUUGGAAGAACGCCAGAUGACUACUGGCCAUUUAUCGGUAGGGGCCCGUGACAUUUGAACUUUUUCAUUAUACUAUUAACAUUUCGAAUUCCCAUCGACAAAAAUCAUACAGAAAAUGAACAGCGCCUCUGUGUAUGGAACUUUUUGUCGAUGGCCAUACCAUUACGCAUUAAGUUCCUGCAAAUUUCGUGCUCGUCUAUAUUUUAUUGACGUUAAACGUAAAUCGUAACUUAAACGUAAGUCAUCGUAACUGCGCCUUUUUGAAAAUCUGGUUUAGUCAGUUUAAAUAUUUAGUAUUCAUUUAAUUUCGAAUGUUGUCAUUUCUAUGUUUAAGAAUAAUCAAACAAUUGAUUUUUUGCAUUUAUUGUUGAAAAUGUUAUUGUAAAAAUUGUGUUUGAAGUCUUAACCCGCCUUUUUGAAAAUCAGGUCUCGUCAUUUUAAGUAUACCUAAUUCAUAUUUUUUAUUAGGUAUGUGCUUUGUUUUGGAAUUAUUCAGUCAUUAUAUAUUACUGCAUGUAUAAUGGACAAUUUUAAAUGUAAAAAUGAUGAUUACAUGCGAAAUUAAGAUUCAUGACUUUCGCAUGUAGUUAUGUGUGUAUUUUUUAAAUGUGCAUGUUAGAUUUUAACUUGUAUUGUUUAACACUGUUCUCUGAAGCAUCCGAUUUUAAUAAAGACUUUUAGAAUAUAUUUGUGUUUCAAUGUUUAGUUUAUGAUUCAAAAUGUUUUCAACAUAUUUUUUUAUUUUCAAUACAUAAUUUAAGAUUGUGGUUCUCGUUUAAAAUAGUUAAAUGCUUGCCUGAUUGAUGUGAUCAUUACCAAAAGAUCUUGAAGUGUUUAUAUUUAAGGUCUUGAAGUGUUUAUAUUUAAGGUCUUGAAGUGUUUAUAUUUAAGAAACGACAUCGUGUUUCUAUCAGCCAAUCGGAAAUUGUCUUAAAUCCGUUGUAGAUACUAACAGCAUUUUCGAGCUUAAACUAAUUGAUUAAUCUGAUUUCAGUUCCAUACGAACUUCUGGAUGCUAAUGGAGAUCCGGUAUCCACUGAGGGAAAUCGUCUCCUUUACGAAGGUAUCAAAUACGAUAAGAUUGCCGUCGAUGAAAACGGAAUAGCAACAUGGCGCUGUGCUAUAUUAAUGUGUUCUGGAGGCUUCCAGGCCAAAAACUCAACCGUUCUCAGUCAAACGAAACACGUCUGCCCCGCUGGCAACAUCGAUUUUGUUAUAAAAGAGAGAAUCGAAGAAUGCAAAAAAAGGGUCCAAAUUGACAAACGUUCCAUUACUGUCAUCUACAAGGAGAUUGUAGAUGAAUACAACAAGAGUGGCAUGAACAGAGUUAAAGAUAUGCCAGAGUUUUCAAGCAUCAAGUCGACCUUGUACCGAUACAGAAUGAAAGUUAAAGAAAAGAAAUCAAAGUAAUGUGUUUAUGAAGUUAUUGUUAAGUACAUGAUUUUUAGUAUUUCUCACGACUGCCAACUAUUUUGCAUAAUAUUAGCUCUCUUCUUGAUCUCUUCUCUAUUAUAAAGUUUUUUAAAUAGGAAGUAAUUGUGGUUGUUGAAUUUUUAGCACGUUAAAUAGCAUUGUAGAUCGUAGACGUCUAACAUAUUUUAAAAAUUUGCUUUUUUUGCAUUUAAUAGUAAGGUAGUUUUAAAUUUAUCAACGAUUUUACUUUACAUGACUUUACCUACCUCACAGAGGUAGGUAAAGUCAUGUAAAGUAAAAUCGAACGCUUGCUAUAAUUAGGUAGGUAUUACGUAAAUGUAGUGCACAUUCACGUAAUUUGCUUACGAAAAAGUAAAUUUGAUGGUAUCAUUACUUAUCUCUUAAUUGUUACAUUAUUAACAUACAAUAUAAUAAGUGUAGUGGUAGUUCAUAAGAAUUUUACAGGAGGUAUUAGGAUACCUUCUGGCCAUAUACUGUUGCAGAACAAUGUAACAAUCUUAUCAAUUACAGAUAUUUUAAUAUUUAAGAAUUUACUUCUGACCUACUCGUAGAUGAACUUACUAUCACGUUUAAAAUCUUUGUAGGUAUUAAGCUUUGUAGGUAUUAAAUAGUUAAGUUUUUUUUUCUAGGUGUAUUUGUAUUGUAACGAAUCAACAAUUUUUUAGGCGAAUUAAUUCAUGCAUGCUGUUUUUAUAACUUUUUAUCUCGACAGAUUUUUUACUAUUUCGUAUGUAUUUUGAGAGUUAAAUAAAUGCUUUUAACCAAGUAAAAAUAUGUUUUAAUGAUUCAUAUAAAUGAUUGACGGAACAUAAAUGAUCAAAUUCAAUUUUGAAAUUUUGUACAAAUUAAUCUAUAAACUAUUAACAUUACAUACGUUCUGAUAUUUUCGUUUUGAUAAAAUAUACUAAAUAACUUAUACGUACAAUAUCUGUUUUUUUAUUUUUUUAUUUCAGUUCCUUUUACACUUGUAGACGAUAAUUAUGGUCCAAUUUCGAUCGAAGACGAUUGCAUAAUUUAUGAAGGUAUUAAAUAUAAUAAAUAUGGAACCGAUAAACUUGGAGUAGCAACUUGGCGCUGUGAAGAUAAUACAUGUUCUGGAGGAUUCACAACCAAGUAUGCAACAGUUAUCAAACAAACAAAGCAUACAUGUCAAAUAGGGAAUGUUCGUUCUAUUGUAAAACUGAAAAUAGAAGAAUGCAAGAGAAGGGUUCAAAUUCAGCCGGAUCGCUUUGUUACCUCUAUUUAUAAGGAGAUCGUACAAGAAUAUAAUGAUACUGGUUUGAAUAAAAUCCAAGAGAUGCCACCGUUUUGUAGUGUCAAAUCAAGUUUAUACAGAAGCAGAGACAAAGUAAAAAAGACAAAAUUACCUAAAAAAGAAUUGUGUAGUUAGGAAAUUGAAAUCGUUUAAAAUUGAAUUGAAAUAUCUCUAAUUAUCGACAGUCAAUGUCGACUAUAGUUUUGAUCUUUUCGCAGACCAUUCUCAGGAUGAGUAUUUAACGUAUUUAAAUUUACUAUGUUUCUUUCUCGCAUUAUAUUUAAUCUAUAAUAUAUUUAAUUUAUAGUAUAAUAGUAGGAAAACGGAUUAUAUACAUUUAUAGUUUUUGUUGUUCUUUUACUAACACCUAUAGAUGUGAAAACAAAUAGACACUAAGAUUAUGUAUAUAAUGUUCCAACUUUUUUAUGUAACUGUGUGAUUUUGUUUUAGAAACACCAUUUAUUUUAUGCUUCGUGCCGCCUGAGACCACUUCAAAUGAAUUAGAUAUAAUAACUUCAAGUAGAGGAAACGACCUACUUAUCCACGAUGGAUAUAGUUACAUUAAACGUUCGGUACAUAAAUCUGGUAGAAUAAGAUGGCGCUGCACUGAAAAGAAAAUAUGCAGCGCGGGAAUCAGUACUUUGGGAAAUAAUAUUUUGAAACGCUCCCAGCAUAAGUGCAAAGCGAGUAUAGUCAAAAAUGAGAUUAGGAAGAGAAUACAAUUAAUGAUGAAAAGAGUUAAAGAAGAACCUUAUGCGAGUCUUCGAAGUAUCUACCAAGAUCAAGUGAACAAAUAUAAUGAGUCUGGUUUUAACCUAAUUAAAGAAAUGCCGAAUUUCACCGGUGUGAGAUCAAUGUUGUAUAGACAAAGGAUUAAAGCUUUAAGAAAUCUCAAAGACACAAUUUCAAAUGCUGAUACGUCGGCAUUAUCUACGAUCUAUGAGGUCUUUUUGGAGGACUACGAACUUGAUUAGUAACGUUACGUUUGUUGUUAUCAUUAUUUUAUUCAUUUUGUUACAACUUGUGCCUGAAAUAAAGAAUUAUUAAAAUUAUUAUUGCAAUUACAGAUUUCAUCUCCCGUGACACGAUUAUACGAUAUUGAAGUUUAUUUACACCUGAUUUGAAGAUAAAUAAUUAUGUAAAUUCUUAUAAUAAAGUUAUCUUCUGUUUUUAUUUUAGAUUCAUAUGACGAUAAGGAUGCACCUUUUAAAAUAAUCCCAUCAAAUAAAGGAAGUCCACUUCUUAUUUACAAUGGCUACAGAUACACAAAGGCCAAAGUUUGUUUAAAUGGCCAAAUCACCUGGCGUUGUACAAAAAGAAAAAUUUGCAGCGCUUCUUUAGGAACUAUGGGGAAAGUAAUCACGAAAGAGAAGCCACAUAAAUGCGAAAAAAAUACCAUAGAGAAUGAAAUUAAAGUAUUUGUUAAAGAAUGUAUAACUAGAGUAGAAAAUGAACCUACGCCCUUCCGCACAAUAUAUGACAAUGCUGUGUUUGAAUACUGCAAACGUGGUUAUGAUACUAUUAAAAAGUUUCCUAGCUAUAGUAGUCUGCAGGACACUUUUUAUAGGCAUAGAAAGCGCGCGUUGCAGACCGCAGGACUUUAUGAGUAUUUUGACGACGCUGAAUCUAAACAUUCAUCGGAAUCUACAUCGGCAGAAUAAAUACAAAAACUGUCAAUUGUAAUUUUCUUACAUUCAAUUUGGUAACAUUAGGUCAUGGGACUUGGUUCAUAGGUAGCAUUGCGGUCACUUACAAGUUUGAAUUUUUCCACAGCAAAAAGAUUACGUAGACUCAAGUGUUUGUUUUUUUUUUCAACUUGAUACCUCAUACGUUCCUGAGAAAAAGCGUCUUGAUUGACGUACAAAUUAUGAGCAAGCAUUUUGUUGCUGGACAAUAAGGUGAUUCAGUCCCGUUCUGAUCCCGUUUUUACUACAAGUAAAAAAUAUUGUUAAGUUAAAAUAUACUUUUUAAAUUUUCAAAAGAAAAAGUUUUCUAUAGCAGAGACACGAUAAGUGAAGGUGCUGCAGAUGGUCACCCUGCAGUAAAAAUACGUUAUGAUAUUUCUAUAAAUGUAUUAUGUAAUACUUUCUUAUGAAAUAAUUAAUAGGAAAAAUAUUUAAAAUGUUUUGAAUGUGUUAAUGUUUUAUACAGUCUCGUAUUCUGGCUAGAAAUGACACGAAAAGUGUGUUUUCAAUGUAAAUAAAUUGAAUCUAAAUAAAUUUCUUAUUUUGUUUUUAUUAUGUGUUUUUUCAGUAUAGCCUAGUUCAACUUUUAAUACAUUUCUUUUGGGCAAUCUAGACUUUGAGUUUGAGCGUGCGAGUAAGGACAAUACCUUUUGUUUUCACUCGCAUACUUUAAAAUUUUUGCUAGUAGCUCGCCAUUUUUAUACUAUUGCCCGAAAAGGAGUGUUAUGUUUCAAGUUUCAUGUUCUGUAUGUAUGUGAGAUUCCUUAUUACACCUUAUAUAUUACCUCCUAUAUACCUUGAAUGGAUGAGCUAUCCUUAGAUUUUAUUAUUCUGAUUCGGGGUAACAGGCUUUACGAUUGCUUUAUAAAUUGUUGUAAAAUUGGGUAUUCAUAUGCUGAGUUCACAUUUUCAUUUCUUACAGCUGAAGUUGACUACGAAGGUGCACCAUUUAAAGUGAUUCAGUCAAAUAAAGCCGAAGUUGACUACGAGGGUGCACCAUUCAAAGUAAUCCAGUCAAAUAAAGGUAAACAACUUCUAGUUUAUAAUGGCUACAGAUACACAAAAGCCUAUGUUUAUAAAAAUGGCCAAAUACGUUGGCGAUGUGUGAAAAGAAAUAAUUGUACCGCAUUCAUAGCAACUAUGAACAAAUUAAUACUUAAGGAAGAAUCUCACAAUUGCGAACAGAACAAUAUAGAUAAUGAAAUCAAGAUAAUAGUGAAGAAAUGUAUUAAGAGGAUUGAAAGCGAACCCACUCCUCUUAGGACCAUAUACCAAGACGCUGUGGUGGAAUAUAACAAGACUGGUUAUAAUACAAUUAAAAGCUUUCCUAAGUUCAAUAGUCUAAAGAACAGUUUCCACAGACAUAGAAAACUUGCUUUACUAAAAGCAGGACUGUCUUUUGCACGGACUCAAAAUCAGCAACAAAAACAGAAUGUAACAUAAUAUACUUCGCCUCAACUCAAAGGACUUUGUCUUAGUAUCAUUGUAAACUAAAUGGAAAGUUUUAACUAAUUUCAACUUAGAGAUUUAUUACAUUUUAAAUAAAGAGCCUGUAAAGAUACUAACCUUAUUAGUUAACUCAAUUCUUGUGAAUGCUGUCCCAUGAAGCUGAUUAAUCUAUUAACAUGUUUAUAUUGCUUUAGGUAUGAAGCAGGAGUUUAUCGAUUGCAAACCUUUUACUGUUAUUAGUACGGAGCGGGGCCGCGAUCUUCUUCUUUGUAACGGUUAUAUAUAUACAACAUUCAGAAUUUAAAAAAAUGGUCACCUUGUUUGGCGCUGUGUAAAUAGGCCUACUUGUAAUGCAUUACUUUUAACCCAUGAAUCGUCAUUCAAGAAAACAUGCAUCGGUGCAUACCAGACGAAGCAGAUAAUGAAAUAAGGAAAAAACUAAAUGAAUGUCUGCGCAGGAUUCAGGUAGACUCUACACCAUUUCGUCAAGUUUAUGCAGAAGCAGUCGAUGAAUAUAACAGAAUGGGUUUUAAUGCCAUCAAACCGAUGCCAAGUUUUGAUUACGUCAAGUCAACGUUUUAUCAACGCAAAAGGAGAGCUAUACGGAAGACUAUGAAAUAUUUUGACAGUGAGUCUGGGUGCUCUGAUACUAAAUUAAAUAAUUAAGAAAUUGUAAUAGCAGACAUUUUAAUUAGAAUCCUGUGUUAUACUGAAUAAAUAAUAUAUUAUGUAGGUACAUUACUUACUAAUAAAGAAAUUACCAUAAAAGAAAUAAAAAUCUCACAGAGCAACAAAAAGAAGUACAACAAAAAAAUGUGGAGAGAGAGAGAGAAAGAAAAAACAAUUCCAGAUAUAGAUUAUUAGAACGUUUUUGUCCAAAAAGAAAGUAAAAAAUAGCUUAGUAAAUCUUUUCAAUGGUGUAAUAAUAAACAUUAAAACGUCUACAAACACUAUAGAAAAACAAAUUGUGAUUUUGUGAAUUGACUAGUCUAAUUCAAACUUUUAUAGAACAGUCUUGUCUAAAAGGCGUGUGUGAUGGUUGUCAUCAAUGUUUUUUUUUUAAUUUGUCAGUUGUUGCAUUUAUUUUAUCUUAGUUAUUUUAAUAAUACAUUUUAUUUAGUUGGAGAGGGUUAAUCAAGCUUGACUUUUCCUUAGUCUUACUUCGGGUUUCAAUAUCAUCGGAUUUGCCGUAAAGGAGUUAAGAUUAUGCUACUUAAUGAAUUUAUUAAAAUAUUUAAUUUUGCUUUAGGUAUAAAGCAGGAGGUUGAUGACUGCAAACCUUUUACUGUAACAACCACGACUCGGGGUCACGAUCUUCUUCUCUGUAACGGUUAUAGAUAUACGAAAUUCCGUGUUAAAAAAAAUGGUCACCUUGUUUGGCGCUGUGUCAAAAGACCCGCGUGUAAUGGAUUAAUUUUCACUCAUGAAUCAACUGUCAUUCGUGAAAAUAUGCAUCGGUGCAUACCAGACGAAGCAGAUAAUGAAAUAAGGAAAAAAAUAAAUGAAUGUCUGCGCAGGAUUCAGGUAGAAUCUACACCAUUUCGUCAGGUUUAUGCAGAAGCAGUCGAUGAAUAUAACAGAAUGGGUUUUAAUGCAAUUAAACCGAUGCCAAGUUUUGAUUACGUCAAGUCCACGUUUUAUCAGCGCAAACGGAAGGCAAUAAGGAAAACGAUGGAAUAUUUUGACAGUGAAUCUGAGAAUUCUGAUAAAAAAAAUGAGAUUAAGAAAGAGUGAAACAUUGUCAUAAUGUAGCGUUAUUGUUACUAUUUAAUUGUAUAAGUAUAAGUAUAUUUAUUGUAAUUUUUACCAUAGUCUUUAUUAAAAAUAUUUAAAACUGAAGGCCUUUUUCUUGAAUAAGAAUUUAUUUCGUUCAAUAAGACUUUUCUUCUAAUUUAUAUAAAUACAGUUUAGUUAAAUCUGAUAUUAUCUCGUUAAUAUGGCGCUCUCUGCUCACUAGCGUCCCAAUCACAUUUUCAUCGUUACCAUUUCUUAUAAUAAACAGCGAAAACUAAAAAAUAAAAUUCCACAGGAGAUCAUUCUAGACGAGAUACAUACCUACAUCACAUAGUUUCCAUUGUUCAAAAAUAUAGUAGUACUAAUUUAUGACAUAUUUUGGUCCAACUGUCUAAUACUAGUAGAAAUCUAUAAUACUAUUUAGUAAAAUCAAUUAUCUAGUGUAAAAAUGAUGGUGGCGCUAGUGUGCGGGUAAAUGAAUUGGCCGAAAUCCUCGAGCUUGUUUUAAUGUAUUUCUGAUUGCAGGUAAAACCAUGUGGGUUGACGUGAAUAAUACUGCACCAUUUACCAUUAUUUCCUCGAUAAAAGGCCAUGAGCUUCUCCUUUAUAAAGGUCACAGAUAUACGAAAAAUCGGGUAAAUAAAAAUGGCGACAUCGUGUGGCGUUGCUGCCACGUCAAGACGUUGUCUUGUUUCGCAACUGUAAACACGCGUGGUAAAGUGGUUCUUAAGGAAAAUGAACACAAAUGUCAGGCGGACGAAGCUGGAAAUGAAAUUAAGAAAAAAAUAUACGAAUGUCUUCAAAGGAUACAGCGUGAAUCUACACCCUUUCGCAAGGAUCAAGUAUCAUUGCUGGUGGCAUCAUUUCUAGAAGAAAAGGAAGCUGUGGGUGACUUGUAGGUAUAACGAAAGAAGGCUUAAAAAAUAGUACACUAGUUAGCAUCAUUUCGUCUACUCGAGGGCAGGACGUGCUUCUUUAUAAGGGUUAUAGAUUCACAAAACGUCGCGUAAAUAAGGAUGGUUCCAUUGUAUGGCGUUGCAUCAACAGUAGAUACGAACGAGGUUGUUACGCGUCUGUCACCUCUCAAGGCACAGAGAUAAUAAAAGAAAAUACACAUAGAUGCGAAGCGGAUGAAGCAGAUAAUGAAAUCAGGAAAAAACUCGAUGAAUGCCAAAAGAGAGUACAGCACGAAUCUACACCAUAUCGUCAAAUUUAUGCAGAUGCAGUCAAUGAAUAUAAUAAAAUGGGGUUUAAUGCUAUAAGACCUAUGCCGAGUUUUGCUUCUAUCAAGGCUAGAUUUUAUAAUAAAAAAAAGGCAGCAAUCAAGAAAACGAUUGAGUAUUUUGAUAACUCCUCUAGAGAAUAUUCUAAUAUCAAUGAAUUGCCUGCGUCCAGUGUAGAUUGAAAUACUACAUGGCCAAUACUAGAUUGGACUCACAGUUUUCAAGAUGCUCUAAGGCUUACAAUUUACUCCCUUCUACACCGAAUGCAUGAUACUGCAUCUUUAUAUUUUUGUCAGACGCCAGGGCAUAUUAAGUUAAGUUUGUAACUUAUUUUCUGGUACCCAGGAGUUAAUGAUAAUCCAAUAGAUGUUACGACUAACUCCAUUUAGCUCACCCUUAUAAGUCCCGUAAUGUGCUUGAAAUAAAUGAAAAUGAUUAAAUGGUUUGUUAUUUUACCAUAUUUUUAAAAAAUUUAAAUAAUAAGAUUGUAUGCUAACAUUAGGGAAAAAAUAAAAUAUUAUAAGUUUUUAUUCCCUUGUGGGGGAUUCUUCAAAGACUAGAAACAUUUUAAGGUUGACUUUAAGUUUUACCAUUUGAAAGUUGCAAAAUAUUUCAGAUCGAAGUGUCUGUUAAAUAUUUUAAGGUGUGUGCAUGUAACUUCUGUUACAAUGACGGAGGAAUACCUCGUGUGACGAAGUCUCCAGUGCACGAGUCCAACUUGCUGAAGAUCAGUUUUCUUAAACUAAUUUUAAGGUUUUUUUUGAUAUAAAAGAGGUGGAAUAUAAUAAUAACCCGCCAUGUAACAUUCUUUCUUCGGGUCGAGGGGGUCGAGAGGAAACUCUCUUAUAUAAAGGCUACAGAUUAUCUAAAAAACUAAUAAGAAAGAAUGGAAAUUUUGUAUGGCGUUGCAACAAUUAUAAGACAAUGUCUUGUCACGCGACCGUUACAACUCGUCGCGGAGUUAUCAUUAAAGAAAAUAAACACAAAUGCCAAGCAGAUGAAGCUGAAAAUGAAAUUAGAAGACAAAUUGAUUAUUGCCUUCAAAGAAUUCAGCAUGAAUCUACACCCUGUAGCCAGAUAUAUGUAGAUGCGGUCAAUGCAUAUAACAGAUUGGGUUUUGAUGCAAUUAAACCUAUGCCUAGUUUUAGUUCUGUCAAGACUAGAUUUUAUGAAUAUAAAAAAAAUAAAUAGAAAACAUUUUUAUUUAAUAAAGAUUGAAAAUUGUAGGUGUGGUUUAUUAAUAUAAAAUAAUUUACUAUUUUUCGAAGAUCCACAAUUUUUUUUCAUCAACUUUAAAACAAAACGUCAAGUACCAUCAUGUAGUAUUGCGAAGGUCCUCAGCAUUCAUCUUUUUCAUUAGUAUUAAGUAUGGCAUCGCAGCGCAACGUAAUUUUUUCGAUUUACCAAGAAUAAUUUUUAAGAACUUUCUAAUUUAUUCCGAUCCAUCCCGUUACAUCUUGGAAUUAAUUGGCAAUCAGUCGAUUUUAUUUCUCCGUAACAAAUUUUUGUGUGUUAUAUGUAAGGGAUUUUUUCAGGUACAAAGAAAGAGGACUUAAAAAAUAGUGCAUUAAUUAGCAUUAUCUCCUCUCAACGAGGCCAGGACGUGCUUCUUUAUAAAGGUUACAGAUUCACGAAACUUCGAAUGAAUAAGGAUGGUACUCUUGUAUGGCGUUGUAUAAACAGCAGCAGGCGCGACCAAGGUUGUUAUGCAACACUUACUUCUCAUGGUACAGUAAUAAUUAAAGAACAAAUACAUGUAUG
Molecule: long non-coding RNA, 14655 nt
Organism: Plodia interpunctella (Indianmeal moth)
Lineage: Eukaryota; Metazoa; Arthropoda; Insecta; Lepidoptera; Pyralidae
Exons: 5
Source: RefSeq, a predicted model, not a curated record